Small nucleolar RNA from Cavia aperea (Brazilian guinea pig), 116 nucleotides. The record is from Ensembl. Lineage: Eukaryota; Metazoa; Chordata; Mammalia; Rodentia; Caviidae.
UGGUUAUGACCAAGGCUUUUAGGACGCAGUUUCUAAUUCACCAGUGACACAGCCUUUAAAAUUCCACCCCCUAGGUUUUCUAUUACCUUUCUAGCAACCAGCCUAUGGAAAUAUUU